RNAcentral lists this ribosomal RNA (460 nucleotides) under uncultured bacterium. RNAcentral describes it as "partial 16S ribosomal RNA". It matches the Rfam family "Bacterial small subunit ribosomal RNA", at positions 338 to 795 of the family's 1533-position model. The record is from RNAcentral.
CCUACGGGAGGCUGCAGUGAGGAAUAUUGGUCAAUGGCCGUAAGGCUGAACCAGCCAAGUAGCGUGAAGGAAGAAGGAUCUAUGGUUUGUAAACUUCGUUUAUAGGGGAAUAAAGGUAUCCACGUGUGGAUAUUUGUAUGUACCUUAUGAAUAAGCAUCUGCUAACUCCGUGCCAGCAGCCGCGGUAAUACGGAGGAUGCGAGCGUUAUCCGGAUUUAUUGGGUUUAAAGGGUGCGUAGGUUGGUUUUUAAGUCAGCGGUGAAAGUUUGUGGCUCAACCAUAAAAUUGCCGUUGAAACUGGAGGACUGGAGUGUGUUUGAGGUAGGCGGAAUGCGUGGUGUAGCGGUGAAAUGCAUAGAUAUCACGCAGAACUCCGAUUGCGAAGGCAGCUUACUAAGCCAUGACUGACGCUGAAGCACGAAAGCGUGGGGAUCAAACAGGAUUAGAUACCCGGGUAGUC